This 69-nucleotide transfer RNA is filed under the name Rattus norvegicus (Norway rat). It matches the Rfam family "tRNA". Rfam says of the family: Transfer RNA (tRNA) molecules are approximately 80 nucleotides in length. Their secondary structure includes four short double-helical elements and three loops (D, anti-codon, and T loops). The record is from Rfam by way of RNAcentral. Lineage: Eukaryota; Metazoa; Chordata; Mammalia; Rodentia; Muridae.
GGGGACUUAGCUCAGUGGUAGAGCGCUUGCCUAGCAAGUACAAGGCCCUGGGUUCGGUCCCCAGCUCCG